AACAUAGCACAUGCUGGUCAGCUGCUCCAUAAACUAAAAACAUAUCACCAUUUCACUCUGGCUAACCACAGGGCUUUCAAGGUUUAUAGAUCUUCCUGGAUGAUCCUCACCCACAUAAAAUUAACUGAAUUUCAAGUGCAAGAGAUCAGCCAUUACUUCCAUCUGUUCUGUAAAUUAUGAAACCAAAACCUGCUUGGAUUAUUGUUGCAAUGUUUUAAUUUCUUCAGGCAAUCAUACUUUUUUGAUCAUUUGUUUAGCACCCGAGAAUCCAUUUGCCUGGAUGAGUGCAGCUCUGACAACACACAGGAAACGCCAGGACAAAGCAGCCCAUUUGAAUGGCACCCCAUCCAGUAUCGUCAACAUUCACGUCUUCCACCACCAGCACAAAAGUCAGAAAGAAUCCAAGAAUUGCCUGAGAAGCAGCAACCCAUUGCCUCUUUAUCUCUUUCUUCGAAAAUCUCUUUGAUGGCCAACUGAAAGUCAGCUCUACCACCUGGGUAAAGUUUCUGAAGAAGAUUUUCUUGGAAUUUACCCACUAUCAGAAGCAAAGUCAAUUCAACCAAAUUCAAAAUACUCCAGCAUCUGCAGCUUGGGCAUAACUUCAGAAUCAGGUCUGCAAUUUCCCUUUAACACUAAUGGUCUCUUAUUAGGCCUGUAGUUUGGAGGCAGAAAAUGACAUUGGAAUCUUAGUUGAAACGGUGCAUGAUCUUAAAUUCCUGAAAACAGCAGAGUAUCACAACUGAACGUGAACAGAACCAGCAUGUACAAAGCAGAAAUGAAACCUGCUAAAUAUGGAUCAGCAGUGCCAGCCAGCAAUUGAAGUGGAAAAAAAGACUUCUGAAAAUCGCUUCAGCUGCCAUCUUGAACAAGCUGAGAAAUAUAAUAUUGGAGUAACACUUUAAAACAAUAAAAUCCAUGAGCGAAUAUUUUUACCUACAAAAUUGCUUGUUUGUGUUGAAACACCUUUAAAUCUUUUAUUUCUGUAAGAAACCUGUGCUUAUGUGAAAAGACUGAGCCUUGGGUGCAUGCAGAAUCCUGAAUUCUUCAGCUGAACUAAUUCAUGUUAACACAGCUCUUAGCGAACAUCAGAGUGCACAACAUUUUUGACAGGAAGACUUGGCAAACUCACUGGCUAUUCAUAGAAUGUGCAAAGACUUAAUGUUUGUAAGCCCUGUACCCUCCAGUGGAAAAUUACUGAUAAUAAAAACCCAUGAAAACU
Rhincodon typus (whale shark) is the source of this 1219-nucleotide long non-coding RNA. RefSeq lists it as uncharacterized. The record is from RefSeq and is a predicted model, not a curated record. Lineage: Eukaryota; Metazoa; Chordata; Chondrichthyes; Orectolobiformes; Rhincodontidae. The transcript has 4 exons.